Molecule: ribosomal RNA, 521 nt
Filed under: uncultured bacterium
Lineage: Bacteria
Description: bacterial SSU rRNA
Rfam family: Bacterial small subunit ribosomal RNA
Source: RNAcentral
AGGGUUUGAUCAUGGCUCAGAUUGAACGCUGGUGGUAUGCUUAACACAUGCAAGUCGAACGGUAACAUUUCUAGCUUGCUAGAAGAUGACGAGUGGCGGACGGGUGAGUAAUGCUUGGGAACUUGCCUUUGCGAGGGGGAUAACAGUUGGAAACGACUGCUAAUACCGCAUAAUGUCUUCGGACCAAACGGGGCUUCGGCUCCGGCGCAAAGAGAGGCCCAAGUGAGAUUAGCUAGUUGGUAAGGUAAAGGCUUACCAAGGCGACGAUCUCUAGCUGUUCUGAGAGGAAGAUCAGCCACACUGGGACUGAGACACGGCCCAGACUCCUACGGGAGGCAGCAGUGGGGAAUAUUGCACAAUGGGGGAAACCCUGAUGCAGCCAUGCCGCGUGUGUGAAGAAGGCCUUCGGGUUGUAAAGCACUUUCAGUUGUGAGGAAAAGUUAGUAGUUAAUACCUGCUAGCCGUGACGUUAACAACAGAAGAAGCACCGGCUAACUCCGUGCCAGCCGCCGCGGUAAUAC